CCGCUAAAGCAGUGCAGAGAAGGAUAGAAACAUUGUACCCAGCAUUGACCAGACAAACACACAAAUGAGCUUUUGUAGGGGCUACUCCAGGUGGAGGCCCAGGGACAAGACCAGGGCCAGGACGAGGC
This is a long non-coding RNA of Trichomycterus rosablanca, 128 nucleotides long. RefSeq lists it as uncharacterized. The record is from RefSeq and is a predicted model, not a curated record. Lineage: Eukaryota; Metazoa; Chordata; Actinopteri; Siluriformes; Trichomycteridae. The transcript is spliced from 3 exons.